GACAUUUUGGAAAUCGUCACAACAAAUGAUCUGUUGUUAAAGCGGGUACAAACUGGUGCCGGGUCAGAACAGAACCUCCAGAGGCAGACCAUCAUUAACAUCGGGUACACACAGUCCAAUAUUGUGAAUAAUAAGCAACAUAGCUAUAGAACAUUUCAAUGUGUGCUCUUAAUGAACAUCUUCAUGUUUUUUCUUCAUGCACUGACAUUUUCUUCUUUUUUUUUUUAAAUAGCUAAAUUUGCGCAGGCACAAUGGGUGUAUUUCAGUGGUAGCUUCUAUUAUAUUUCUACAACCCAGAAGUCCUGGCAAAGCAGUCAAUAUUUCUGCCAGUAUCAAGGAGCCGACCUGGUGAUCAUAAACAGCAGAGAAGAAGAGCAAUUCACAAGAAAGUUUCAAAAGAGAGCCUGGAUUGGUCUUACUGACAGAAUACAAGAGGGGUCCUGGAAAUGGGUGGAUGGGACUGCGCUAACACAAAGCUACUGGCGCUUUGGAGAGCCUAACCAUUUUAAAGGCAGAAAUGAGGACUGUGUAGAGAUACAGAACUUUGACUCCGAACGCAACUGGAAUGAUGCUCAAUGUGCAAACGAUAACUACUGGAUCUGUGAAAAGAACUUUGAUAUUUAACAUAAACAAGAGUUUUCUGUUUGUAGCCUAUUUUUUAAAAUAGUUUAUAAGACAAAAAUAUAAUUCUGUGCUUUCCAAUGGAACCACAAAGUACCUGCUUUAGUUAUUCUUUGAGUUCUAAAUUGAUGUAAUCAGAACAAUUCAAGAAUUUGACAGUUGACUUUUUAUUGCUUUGGUCAUCGAUACCCAGUUAGCUCAAAUUAGCAGUCAUUGUGUGCUUUUUGUCAUUCUGGCUCAUCAGUUUUGUAUCUUAUUAGUUUGACUUGUUCUUUCUCAAUAGUUAAAGUCAUUUAAGGAAGUUAAUCUCUGCAUCUUAUAAAUGUCUAAUGUGAAACUUUAGUUAACCAAAGACAUUUGUAAUAAAACUGACCAAGUUUAUUUUUUGACUAACCUAUUUUAAUGGCACGGUGGUCAUUUUGAUGACAUGUGUAGAGUUACUGUUUACUGUUGUGAGUUAGCAUUUUAAAAAACUAAAAAUUGAGUUGCAUUUUAAUGCUGAUUGGUAAUCAGCCAAUCUAAUGGCUGAUUACAACAGC
Molecule: long non-coding RNA, 1160 nt
Organism: Xiphophorus hellerii (green swordtail)
Lineage: Eukaryota; Metazoa; Chordata; Actinopteri; Cyprinodontiformes; Poeciliidae
Exons: 3
Source: RefSeq, a predicted model, not a curated record